RNAcentral lists this long non-coding RNA (1251 nucleotides) under Strigops habroptila (Kakapo). RNAcentral describes it as "lncRNA (ENSSHBG00005015195.1)". Lineage: Eukaryota; Metazoa; Chordata; Aves; Psittaciformes; Psittacidae. The record is from RNAcentral.
GGAAGUGUCACACAGUCUCCAGACCUCCUGUGAUCUCUGCUGCCCUCUUCACAGGGUGGGCAGGCCCUGAGCAGCAGAUCCAGGCAGCUGAAAGAUGUCAUGGCAGUGUCCUCCCUCACAGGCUCCUCUGCAGGGCUACAUAAACUUCAACCAUGCCCCAGCUCUCAUUGCUCCUGGGAGAAACGCUACAGAGGAACAGGAAGCUUCACUGAGCAUGGAGCAAGCUCUCCCAAGGGAAACACCAGUUCUUUUCUUCAUCUGUACUAACCGACCCUGCAAAAGACAGGGUGGCUUCACCUCCUGAGCACAUCAAAUGCCAUUUACUUGCAUCUCUUCUUGAGGCUUAUUGCCUCCAAUGUAACUUCAUUUCAAGAAAAAUACCCCAAACUCUUAAAGCUGAAAAACAUUGAAGCAAUUCACUGGUCACUUGUUCCAUCUUGCAGCAGCCACCCUUCUCCAGCAGGUCCACAGGCACAUGCAGUAUCUCGCAAAGCUCCAGACCACCUUUUCCCUGCCCACUAAUAGGUGCCAAGAGCUCCAUUCUGCAGAACUUCCAGCCAAAAGAAUGAUAUUCCCAGCACGCACAGUGGACUGGCACUGUUGGGCAUCAGAGGUUAACCUUUCAGCCCACGUCAAGGCCUUCUCUCAUGGAUUUUCAAAAUCAAGCUUACUGCGUAGAUGCAAAAACCAAACAUAGAACAUGUGAGCUGAAUUAUUUCUGAGAAACCUCACUAUACUUAAAUAUGGCACGUAACCAAGGGGAAAACAAUGAAAAAUAAUGGAAAAACCUAUACAGUUUUUCUGAAUUAUGAAGCCUGGUGUGGCUUUUUGCAGGUGAAAUCCCAAACCAUAAAAAGGUUGGUAAGAAGACUCACUUGUCCAUUCUUUGCUUCUCCUCUGCCACAGGUAUCUCAGUCCUCAGAUAUUUUCCUGAUGCUGCAAAAAAUGAGUGUUAAUGUUAGGUGCUCUGUGAAAAUUCACAGUCAGAAGGACUCCAGGAACAGUGAUCAAAAGAAAGAUGGUUUUUCACCCCAACAGCCUAGCCACAGACGGCUUUACAGUUGUCCCUUCUAUUCUGGGAGGGCUAACUUACCACAAAGGCCCUUGGACAAGAUGAAAAUAUGAUCUUUGGCUCUGCUAAAAGCAAUCAGCAGAAUAAAAGAGGAGCCUGCACUGAGAAGAACUCAAGGAAGCAUUUGGGACAGUUUUUAAGGCAAAAGGAGAUGAAACAGGUGGGGAAGAAGAGGAAAA